This 5706-nucleotide long non-coding RNA is filed under the name Ricinus communis (castor bean). Its description in RNAcentral is "long non-coding RNA (RCOM_LNC002739)". The record is from RNAcentral. Lineage: Eukaryota; Viridiplantae; Streptophyta; Magnoliopsida; Malpighiales; Euphorbiaceae.
UGGACAUCUUUUGGCCGAGGAAGAGGUCGAGGACUCACACAAAGGGAAGGGAGAGAAGCCACCACCAAAGCACAAGCCACCACAUGGACAUCUUUUGGCCGAGGAAGAAGUUGAGGACUCACACAAGGGAAAGGGAGAGAAGCCACCACCAAAACACAAGCCCCCGCAUGGACAUCUUUUAGCUGAAGAAAAAGUUGAGGACUCACACAAGGGAAAAGGAGAGAAGCCACCACCAAAACACAAGCCCCCGCAUGGACACCUUUUAGCUGAAGAAGAAGUUGAUGAUUCGCACAAGGGAGAGGGAGAAAAGCCACCACCAAAACACAAGCCACCUCACGGGCACUUAUUAGUUGAAGAGGUUGAAGACUCACACAAGGGGAAAGGAGAAAAACCACCGCCCAAGCACAAACCACCUCAUGGACACCUUUUAACUGAAGAGAUCAACGACUCUUACAAAGGAAAGGGAGAGAAGCCACCUCACAAGCCUCCCCACAAACCCCCAUCAGCCGACUAAGUACCUUAGGCUAAUUUCGCUAAAUGCUUAGAAAUAAGAAACAGAAGUCUACUCUUCUGUUGGUUUCUGUAUCUGCAUUUUCACUGAAUUAGUAUUUGUACUUUGGCUUGUAUUAUAUGAAUACUACCCUCUAGUUGGCUGUUUUAUGUAGAUUAUGGUUUUAUGUUCUAGUGCUGUGUGUAUUAUUUCAGUUGAUUUAACUUUUAUUUGCAAACUAUACAGCAAUACAUGCACUUACUCCUAGUACGUAGUUCUGCCACAUGCAUAUAUUUGGUGGUAGGAUAUUGCCAACGACAACAACGUUUAAUUACUUUAACUUAAAUCAAAUAUGAAAUGAUUCUCUUAAUUAAAACUAAAUUUUUUUUAUACCCUAAUUUAACCCUUAUUUAUUAAUUAUAUUUAUUAAAUCUCUUAUUAGUUAAAGUAUAUAUAAUAAAACUAGGUAAGAAUGUGUGAGAUUUCAAAUUUCUUCAUAUCUGUCACUGGUUAUUUCAUGUCUCUGUUUCUGCUUGCUGCCUAUGUUGCAACAUUCAUUUGGCUUCUUAUUCCUAGUCAAUUACUUAUUUGCCUCUCGAUUUUGACUAGGUCGAUAGUAAGCUUAAAGUUUAAUUUCAAACAGUUUCAUAUUUAAAGAAAAGUAGUAUUUUGAAGAAGCGGAAAUAAACACAAAAAAAAGAUAGUUGGUGCAAUGAGUAAAUCAUUUUCAAAUAUAAAAUUAUUAUUACAAGCAAAAUUGGAAUUAUUAGAAUGACAGUAUGCUCCAAAGAUAAGAGUAUAAUAUGAAUAGUACAAAAUUAGCCUUUUUCUUUAAACAAAAUAAUUCAGUAAACUGAUCAUAAGAACGUAAUAAAGAGUAAAAUUCUAUCCUACAUUUGUAUUUCAAAAGUAAAAAAUAUUAAUUUUUAAAUACAUUUGGUUCUCAGUGAUUGACAAGAUAAAAUCUUAUUUAACUUUCUCCUUAUAGAGUAGGAAUUCCAGAUACAUAUUAUCUUACCAAGGGUUUGAUAAUGACAUUUUAAUUACAGCACCACUAUAGACAAGUAGCCAUUGUUAAUGGAGGUUAUCAUUCCAAUUUCCCUCUUGUGAAGUUAUUAAUUUGUGGAGAUUAUAAAGGACUCCAAUCUUUAACCCUUCCAAUGAGUUAAAAAAAUAUAAAAUAUUUCUUAUCAAAUUGCACCAUCAACAACUCAUACGAAUGCCACCUUUAUGGCCGCAAAACAGAGUGCUUGAUAACCAAAUUUAAGAUAAAUCUCAAUUCGACGGUAAGUGCAUCACUUAGAUUUGUUACAUCCUAAUAAUAUAUACUAAAUUUAUAAAUAAUUAAUAUAUAUUUUAUUAAUUUAAAUAAUAAAAUAUAUAAAUUAUAUAUAUAUCAACUGCCAGUGGUACCUUUUUUAAACUAAAGGAAGCUAUUAGUGGAGACAAGCUUUAGAAGUGAACGCCACUCAUCUGCUAAACUACAAAAGAUGCCACCACACCUCUGACGUCAAAUGAUAUGCAUGUGCUCUAGUCACUGUUGAAACUAAGAAAUUAUUAACCGUGAGCCUAAUAUCCAAAGAACCUUUGGAUCCAAUCAAUUGAUUUUAGAUAAACUAUGGUGAAAAUAUAUCAUUUUUCGUUACUCUUCAGCUUUCCACCAAAUUCAGCCCCCCAAAAGUUCAAGAAAAAAAAUUAAUACCAAGGAUAAUAUAAAUUCCAAGAGUUUAGGCGAAUAAUUUUUUUUCUGAUCAGCAUUUUGCAAUUAGUUGAAAAUUGGAACUUGCCAGAAGCUGUGCAGCUCAAUUUUAUCAGGCACAUACGAAAACACACUUCCUAUUUCUCUGAAAGUUUGUCUUGCAGCAGUUUAAGAUGAACAAAAGCAAGUUGGUUUUCUGCUUGUAAUUUACAACUCAAUUAGAUUAUAGAAGAAAUUAAAACAGUAAUAUGUAAUUCUUUGGGGCAUAACCUUUAAUACUACUGAUAAGUAUAACGGAUACGUUCCUAAAUUAUAUUGUACUAAAUUUACAACCGCAAGGAGAUCCAAGUUGGAGAGUUAAUAAUCACACUAGGUUAGGAGAAAGAGCAAUAACUUGGCCAUAUUGUCAAAGUUUUCAACUAGUUGGAACCCGGUGGAUCUUCUUCUCUAAACCGGUGGAUCUUCUUCUCUAACAUGAAAUUUUAAACAGCCAACUUGACUGCAUAGGGUACUAGGUUAGUAAAGACAAGAAAGUAUGACAUGAACAAAAACCACUUAAUAGACGUCUUUUACAAGUAGAUAUUGAGGAUGCACAUAAAGGAAAGGGAGAGAAGCCACCGCAUGGACAUCUUUUGGCCGAGGAAGUUAUGGAGGACUCGUAUAAGAACAAGAGAGAGAAGCCACCACAUGGACAUCUUUUGGCCGAGGAAUAAGUGGAGGAUUCACGCAAAGGAAACGGAGAGAAACCACCACCAAAACACAAACCUCCACAUGGACAUCUUUUAGCUGAAGAAGAAGUUGAUAACACACACAAAGGAAAAGGAGAGAAGCCACCACCUUAUGCGCACUUUUUAGUUGAAGAGGUUGAAGACUCGCACAAGAGAAAGGGAGAAAAACCACCGCCAAAGCAUAAACCGCCUGUCACGACUCAAUCUGUAGGUCCGUAAUCGGCGCUAGUGAAUGGGUAGGCUUAAGGCCAUCAAAAUUCAUAGCAAGCCUAAUUAGCCAAAGAUCUAAAUAAACAUAUAUAUAAUUAUAUACUACUAAAACAAUCCAACAUUUCACUCACAAAUCUACAUAUAAUUAAUUUAAUCCUCCAGCUGGAUUACUAGCAAACAUCCCAUAAUUUUUUUUUACCGACAUAAUUUAAAUACAAGAUACCGGGUACAUUACUGCGGAGAGUCUAGAAUUUUAAAUAAUUUAAAAUAUAAAAAUAAGAUUUAAUUACAAUAAGUCCGAAAGAGAAGGAAAGUCGGGUUGUAAAAAAUGUCGGCGAAAAACCUAGCUGUCACCUGAAAAAUUUAGAAUUUAGACUGUCAGUCUCAGGAGUGAGUUAAAAUUAAAUAUCAUAAGUAAAACAAAAUGGUUGAUAAAAUAAUGUAGUGCAUCAUAAACUAAUAAAUAAGUGUCACAAUAUAAUUUAAAAUAAUUAAUUUUUAGCUCUUAAGGGAUGAGCACUUCAGUAGAGCCCUAACCUCAAUAUUAGCAGCCUUCGGCUCUCUUAUUACAGUAAGACUGGUGCCUAAAGAGCGAAGCUCAACCAUGGUCCUUAAAUCUAGUUUGAUCACUUGAUUUCUAAUAAAGUCAGCACCCAUAUAGGAAGGCUAGAUAAGGGACCUUUCCUUCGGCAAUCAAAUUCUCACAGCUCAGAGAGUUGUACUCGACCAGAGCAAAUCCCAAAAUAUUCUUUUAUUACCUGUCUUUGAUUAAUAUCGGUGCAUGAGCAUUCUUGAUGCAACCCAUCAGGUGACAUGUUAUACUGCUGCCUCAUCCCGAAGUUACGAUCAUAGCAUCAAUAAUAAUUAUAAAUAAUAUAAAUCAUAAGCAAACAUAAUUAUUCAAUAACAUAAUAAGAAUUAAAGUUGAGUAGUCUCGAAUAUAGCAAACAUGAAAAUUAUGUAUGAUAAUAGUAAUAAUGAUAAAAUAACAAUAAAUAUGAUAACAAUAAUAAUAAUAAUAAUAAUAAUAAUAAGAAUAAUAUCAAUAAUAACGAAAAUGAAAUUAAUAAUAAUGAUGCUAAUAAUAUUCGUAAUAAUUAUUAAUCAACUAAAAUUACUAAUAAAAAUACUAAUAAUAAUCAUAAUAAUUAUUAAUCAAUUAACAUUACAUUUAAUUUAGACAUGACAUAAAAGCAGUUGAUUAUAUACUUUAAUUCACAGUACUGCAGUGCUACGCAGUCUGCUUCUAUGCUUUGGGUGGAGCUGGUUGGACGAACGGAUUAUCUAUUUACGAGAAACAACUCAAUUAAUGAGAUAUUAUUAAUUUUUCUAGGCCUAAACUUCUAAAUUAGACUGCCUAAAAAAUUUUGACUCGGAAAUUCUACCGAAAAUUUGAUAGAACCUCCCUUAAAAUAUGAACGUUAACCCACCCCCCCCCCCCCCCCCCCAUAUAACAGGUCCAGAACCUACUAGAAAACACUUCAAAUAUUUCACAUUUAUUUAACGGGGUAGAGGCAUUAUCUUUCCGACUCCGAAAUAUAACCUAAAUCACAAUAUAAAAAUUAACAGUCCGGCAAAAUAAUAUUAUUCACGAUACAUUAUACAAAUAUUUUUUCUCGCAUUUAAUUCAAUUACUCACAGCCUCAAAUUUACAUAGCAGAAUAUUAAAUCUUUCUGUAAUUAAUCUGCAGUAAUUCUAAAAUCAAGCUACCAAUUAAUUAAAUAAUUUAAUUAAUUAAUUAUAACUAACAAUUUAUACUCCAAUUAUUUUCUAAUAAUUUCAAAAUAAAUUUUCAAGUCUAGAUAAAAUUAUACUGAGCCGAAACUCGAACUUUUGUGCGUCCGAGAAACACCAGAGUUUGAAAGCCGGUACCACCAACGAUAUCGGAUUUCGAAUCCGGAAGCACCUACGAAGCUUGAGUUGUGGGGAGUCUGAGUAUGCAAAUGUCUUCGCUUGAAACUAGUCGGAAGUCACCAGAUCGAGGCUGAAAAGUUUCGGCUCCAGCGAGACUCAUCCAUUGCAGCUGGCGGAGGAAAAACAUCAGGGAGGAGCUGGCUUUGGGUUAUCAAUGGUGGCGAGCACGAUUCCGACAUUGGACUGAUGAAAGGGCGACGGCAGGCGGCUAUUCUUACAGUGGCAGCAAGGGAGGAGCUUUCCUUCCUGCAACUUGUCAUCGGCAAUAAGAAAGAAGAAAAAGGAGGCGAUGCUGGCAAGGGAGGGGGAAGAAGAAGGAGUUUACGUUAGCUAGAAAAAGAGGACAGGCGACAGAAAGAAAGGGAGUGGAGGAGGAGGAAGAGAGGUGGCAUCACGAAAAGAGAAGAAAGAAGAGAGGGAAUUUUUUUUUUGUAUAAAAGAUGAAAAAUUACAAAUGAGUCCCCUUUCAAAAAGUUGCUACGAUGACCCCCUUGGCCCAAUUUCUUUUUGUUUAUUUAUUUAUAAAUGUUAAAUAUUGACUUAUCAAUAAUUAAUUUAAUAUAAAUUAAAAAAUUUAUCAAAUUACCCGAAUAUAAAUUAAAACAAUUAAAAUUUAAAUUUAUAGGUAUUACACCACCUCAUCGAUACCUUUUAGCUGAAGAGG